Gordionus sp. m RMFG-2023 is the source of this 712-nucleotide RNA transcript. It is a transcript of the gene named mitochondrial import inner membrane translocase subunit Tim23-like, with no coding region annotated. The record is from RefSeq and is a predicted model, not a curated record. Lineage: Eukaryota; Metazoa; Nematomorpha; Gordioida; Chordodea; Parachordodidae. The transcript is spliced from 8 exons.
CUAUAGCAGCUAUCACUUUAGCAAUGAAUGAGGAUAAUUUUAAGACUAAACAUCAAACGUAUGCAUCGACGAUGAUGUCCCCUUAUUUAAACUUUGACCCUUCACUAUUAUAUAAGAAUGAACCAGAAUUCAUACUUCCUGAAGGGGCAAAUAAGCAACGAGGACGUUUUGAACUUGCUUUUUCUCAAAUAGGAUCGUCAGUAAUUGCAGGCUCAGCAAUUGGAGGAAUAAAUGGGCUAUACAAUGGAUUGAAAGAAACACAUGUGGCUGAUCUAAAAGGCACAGUCAAAAGAACUCAACUUCUAAAUUUUAUGACUAGACAAGGAGCUGGCACAGCAAACAUAUUAGGAAUCAUGGCUUUAAUGUAUAGUAGUUUUGGUGUGUUGUUAUCUUGGGCAAGGGGCAAAGAUGAUGAAAUAAAUACGAUAACUUCAGCAACCUUAACGGGGGCCUUAUUUAAAUCAACAAAUAUCCUGUUCGCAUAAGUAAUGGCAAGAAUUAUAAUUAAAAAGAGUCCUCAAUAUUAGAUCUAUCAAACGCCUCUUACAUUUGCACACAGCAAAUUGUUGGGACCCAUGAAGCCGGACCUCGCAAAGUUUUAGUCGGCAGUCUUUUCGGGUUUGGCCUUUCUUCCGCAUAUUGCGCCUUCACAAAUCGCGAUAAAAUAAGAUCGAUCGUGCAAUCAAAAUCUUUUUUUAGUUAAAGUUUUGAC